RNAcentral lists this long non-coding RNA (491 nucleotides) under Nicotiana benthamiana. Its description in RNAcentral is "long non-coding RNA (NBEN_LNC014152)". Lineage: Eukaryota; Viridiplantae; Streptophyta; Magnoliopsida; Solanales; Solanaceae. The record is from RNAcentral.
UUUUAUUAAUGGCAUUGGGUUGGUCUGCCUCUCCAUGGAGAGGUUCAGAGCCUUACAAUAUAUUCUCUCUUCUUUUCGGAAGAGAUGUGUAGAAGAAGAAGAAGCAUCCCCCUUUAAGGUUCUUUCUCUUUGUAUUUAUAGCUAGGAGGUCUGCCAGCUGGCGCCAAAGGAUUGAGACCACAUAGAGGGACGCCCUCGUAAAAACGGCCAGGCCGCUUGGUUGCACAUUUGGAUAGCUGCCAGAUAAUCUUGCUAAUAUUUGGUCAUACCAUUCAUAAACUACAAUUGAAUUCUAAUAAAUGCGUUGAUUUCCGUUAUCAUUGUGAGGUCAAGUUUUGAUCCAUACAGUUUGUAUUUUAUCAGUGAUGAUUUAGUUGUAUUGCAUUAAUGAUAAAUGACGUUGAUGAUUUGGUUGUAUUGCAUUAACGACUAAACUAUUGCCUAAAAUAAAAAUAAAAAGUUAUUUUUAUUACAAAGAAAUCUUAGAUAUC